This 253-nucleotide ribosomal RNA is filed under the name uncultured bacterium. RNAcentral's name for it is "partial 16S ribosomal RNA". It matches the Rfam family "Bacterial small subunit ribosomal RNA", at positions 524 to 776 of the family's 1533-position model. The record is from RNAcentral.
GACGUAGGGGGCCAGCGUUGUUCGGAAUUACUGGGUGUAAAGGGUUCGUAGGCGGUGCGGCAAGUCGGGAGUGAAAUCUCUGGGCUUAACCCAGAGGCUGCUUCCGAAACUGCUGUGCUUGAGUGUGGGAGAGGCGCGUGGAAUUGCAGGUGUAGCGGUGAAAUGCGUAGAUAUCAGGAGGAACACCGAUGGCGAAGGCAGGUCUCUGGGCCACUACUGACGCUGAGAAGCGAAAGCAUGGGGAGCGAACAGG